AGCAAAUUACAGCUGAAACUCUUGCAAAAGGUGUAGAUCAAACACUUUACAAGAGCCAUCCCUACGCUAACAGGGCAGGAUUACGAACAGACACAGUGAGAAAAAGCAUCAGGGUCACAAAGAAGAAGGAUUGUGCCGUGGUCCAAGAUUUUUGCUUAGAAAACAGAACUCAAAUGAUGAAGCAUGCAAAUAACCAUAGACCACAAAUAAAAGCAUCACCUUCCAGGCAAGGCAAGUACAAAUUUGGUUCAAGUGCACUUUCUUGACUCUCUCUGCAGGGUAUAGCUCUGAGACAAGCUUGUUUUGAAAAGGUUUUCAUAGAGCUAUUUUUUUUUUUAUCUUGCUGUCUUGUUAAUCUCUUUUUCUGUAACAGCACCUUCUACAAGCAGACUGUGCAUGAUUAAGAAAACAAUAAUGCAAAGAUAAAAAUAUCUGUAAACAUAAAUUAGAAACAUCCAACAUUUCAUGAUAAUUGUGAUUACUAGAGCAAAAUAGUACAACAAUUUCAAUACCAGUUCCUUGUCUUUUCCACAGUUUUGACAAGUGAAUGGGAAUUAUUUCUGUUUAGAUAAUAAAGAGGAAUAGUGAAGUUUUGGAAGCAGAAUGGAUAGAACACCAACAGAGAUCACACACUUCAGGUAAAGGGAAGAAAAUUUCGAACCUUACAGUAUGUAAAUAAACAUUUUUUGCAAAGAAAUAAGAUAUUAACCAAGCAUUUUAGAAGUAUCAACCAAAUGAACAAUAAAGAAUAAAACAAAUAAUGUCAGAAGAUUUUAAAAAUUAAUUUUCGAAUGUCACUUUCAUUGCACAACCCAAAACAUCAUAUGAUUCUGCUGAGAAUCCAGUCCUACUAAAGAGCUCUUGUCAAGGGCAUCACCAAAAUUCCCUUUAAUUUAACAGAAACAAGAUAUUGCCAUUCUGACACAGAUAGAAAGAGGAAUGAUGAGAUUUUGCAAGUCCCACCUUCUCUGUAACUGCACAGCUUUGGAAAGAGCUGUUGUUUUAACUCACACCAUACAUGGCAGGAGAACUGUGAUCCUUGAAGUGCAAACACAAAUAACACGUGGAAACCCUGGGGAAAAAAUGCACAGAACACCCCUACAGAAAGAAGACCAAUCUCUGUCUUUGGAGGUCUUCAAAACUCAACUGAACAGUGUCCUCCUCAACCUGCUUUAGGUGACUCUGCAUUGAUAAGGAGGUUGGACUAGACAGUCCUCAGAGGUGCCUUCCCUUCUCAGCUCUUCUGUGAUCAUAUGAAGGUAAAGGUAGCAUCAAAGUGGGAACAGAAGCAUAUUAAGACAUGCUACUCUAGGACAAUAAGAAGAUAUUUUUAAUAUAAAACUAUGUUAUUAUCCCAUAAUUUCUUGUUUAAAUCAAAACUUUUAACAUGGUUAGCAGCUGUUUUCACAAACAUGGAUGCUCUCUUCUUGAUAUAUUAAUAAAUGUUCUUAUCUGAGAAUUUAAUAAUGAUUUUAAAUAAACAAACAAGCCAAAAUAAUAUAACGAAAAGGGCCUUAUGGUAUUAUUGAAGUCCCCUUACAUUUUAAUAGCAUGAACCAGAAGGAACCAAAGUGAAGCUUAAUGCCACAAGUCAUAACAACUUAAAAUCCAUGUAUCUUUUGAAGGGAAUAUCUUGCAGAUCUUGUGGAUCAUAGAGUAGAAGGACAAGUUUUUUACAAUUAAAAACAUUCUAAUGCAAAAGUUUAAAAACAUUUCAGACAGUGUCAGCCUAUAUAGUUAUUACUAUAUAUAUCUUUGACAAUGCGGUUGCAUAAAUUCUUGAAAUGGCACUUGAUCUUCAUUGAUCUAAGCGAUCACUUCAGCAAUAUCUUUUCUGCCUGAUUUUCCUUCAAAUGUUCUCAUCUCAAUAGCAUUCUAGAAAUGCACAUUCAAAUACAUCAAAAGAUCAUGUUAAAUCUUUGCUAACUGAACUUCACUAUAGAUUGAUGUACAUGAAUUACUAUAGAUUGAUGUAUAUGAAUUAAUGUGGGCGUAUAUGUACACAAACUUGAUUCACUGCUUCCAGCAAAGAAGCAACAUGAAAAAAAGGCAUUACUACUACAGUGAGACAACACUACCCCACAGGAAAUCAGAUUAUCUGCAAGUAAAUCGUAAAUUAUGAAAACAAAACUCUGAUGGAUUUACUCUGAAUUUAUAGAAGUUGUAGAUUUUAAAGGCCUGUGGCAAACUUUUUUCCUUUUCUUUUCAGUUUAUAUUUCCAAUCCCAAUUUCAACAGCUCAAGCUUAAAAUUACUUGUAGUUACCUCUUCAAAGAUACUACUGAAACAAAACAAGGUGCUUUUCCUGCCUCCCUUCCCAGUGAUGACAGUGCAGUUUCUUUGCCUUCUGGGUCUCUUUUGUCAUAACUGAACACGGAUUAAUUUCAGGAGGACUUUGUGACAGUCAGACAACGUACUGCAUCAUGAUUUCUAAAAGAUAUUACAAAGCUUUCUGAAAAAAAAAAAUCAGAAGAUGCUGUGUGUGAUUUUUUUUUUUUCAUCCUGCAGCGCCUCAACAGUUUUUCAAUUACCCCUAAUAUCACAUGCUCCAUUUCAGGUUCUCAGAACAAGAUACACAUGUCAUAUGUGAACGUAUUUACACCUAUCAAUAUAUUUCAUAAAGAAAGUUAUAAAUCCAUUAAUAGUUCAAGCUGCUGAAGUUCAGGAAACACUUUAUGAUCUCUAUAUUUUUUCCUCAAUAUCUUUCUCUUUUUUCUUUUUGUAAGAUCCUGCACGCUUUCAAAGCUCCUCUUAAUGAAAUUAAUUUGUGCAAAACUAUCCAAUGGCAGGAUGCAAAGACUCAGCAAGACUCAUCUUGGAGAUAAGGGGUGAUAAUAGUACAUUAUUUAUAAAUUCCAACAUGGAGUACUUCUCUGAAGUAUGAACUAGACUUGCAGAUGAUCGAUUAUUGCAAUAAUAUUGUGAGCUUCUUUAGGAUAUGUUAGACAAGACAGAUUAGCAAAGUUGUUCAGUAAGCAAUACACCACAUAAAGAAAAAAAAGAACUUAAAGUUACUCAAAUACUGCCUAUAAUUUUUUAAAUAAAUCUCCCUGUCUGUAGAGACAGACAAUCCAGGUAUAUCCAAAGAAGUCCCCUACAACCAAGUUUCAGUGUGCUUUUGUUUUACUAGAAGGAAAAAAUUCAGUAAGCAACAUCUAAGCAGUAGUAGGCUCAUAAAUAUCUACAGUGGAAGGACUGAAAGGCAAGAGAUCUUUGCAUGCGUGAGAACAUCAUUCCUUUCCUUGAUUAAUGGGAAUACUUUUGCUUACAUGCACGUAAUCCACAGCAACAACACACCUGGGGAAAGACAAAACUACCCUGAACAGUUGAAAAUAGUCUAAAUUAAGCAUAAUUCUUCCCUAUUUCAAGACAAAUAAUAAGACAAUGUUACAUUCAGACUGUUAAAAGAAAAAGGCAAUAUUUCAUCUUCAA
Molecule: non-coding RNA, 3431 nt
Organism: Meleagris gallopavo (turkey)
Lineage: Eukaryota; Metazoa; Chordata; Aves; Galliformes; Phasianidae
Source: RefSeq, a predicted model, not a curated record